CCAUUGCGAUCUGAAUUGCGAGUUGAGAUUUUCUCGGUGAUGCGUCGUCGUUCUCGUCCAUUCUUGAUGGUCGGUCUUCUUCGACUUUAGGGUCGAGAAAUUGGAACACCUGUUCUAGGGUUUCUUUGUACUCGCAAGCGUAUUUUAGGUAAUUCAUUAUGUAGCGUGUUAAUGGAUGAACUGCUCCUCCUGGAACUGGAAUUUUCGCGUUGUCACUUUUGAUUGAGUUCUCUAGGUCGUAGAAAAUGCCGACUAUUGCUUCGCCUAUCCCGUUUUUUGUCCCUUCCGCUUCGGUAAUUAGCUCUGUUCUGCAAUUUUCAGGGAAGCCAUUGAUCGUCGGAACUAAAUCGCGGAUGGUUUCGUACAUGUCAAGUAAUUUGAACAUCUUCUCCGCCGAUCGUUUUGUUAAAACGACGGCGUUUGCAAAGUUGAGAAGCUUGAUGACUACUGCUCUUGUUAAAUUGCUGAA
Molecule: long non-coding RNA, 469 nt
Filed under: Cucumis sativus (cucumber)
Lineage: Eukaryota; Viridiplantae; Streptophyta; Magnoliopsida; Cucurbitales; Cucurbitaceae
Description: long non-coding RNA (CSAT_LNC001382)
Source: RNAcentral